Small nuclear RNA from Aplysia californica (California sea hare), 103 nucleotides. The record is from RefSeq and is a predicted model, not a curated record. Lineage: Eukaryota; Metazoa; Mollusca; Gastropoda; Aplysiida; Aplysiidae.
UACUGUUCAGACAGGAAUACACAAAAUUGGAAUGAUAGAGAGAAAAUUAGCAUGUCCCCUGCACAAAGAUGACACGCAUAUUCUUGAAGUGUUCCAUAUUUUU